CAGGGAAGUUAUCGUUUAGAGAUGAUCUUGCGUACCAUUAGCUUGUUGGCGGGGUAACGGCCCACCAAGGCUUUGAUGGUUAGCCGGCCUGAGAGGGCGAUCGGCCACAAUGGGACUGAGAUACGGCCCAUACUCCUACGGGAGGCAGCAGUAGGGAAUUUUGCGCAAUGGACGAAAGUCUGACGCAGCGACGCCGCGUGAGCGAUGAAGGUCUUCGGAUUGUAAAGCUCUGUUGAGUGGGAAGAACGGUUUCGUAUAUAAUACAUACGAGACGUGACCGUACCAUUCGAGUAAGCACCGGCCAACUACGUGCCAGCAGCCGCGGUAAUACGUAGGGUGCAAGCGUUGUUCGGAAUUACUGGGUGUAAAGGGAGAGUAGGCGGGUUGGUAAGUUAGAAGUGAAAAGCCCAGGCUUAACCUGGGACCUGCUUUUAAUACUGCCAGUCUUGAGUAUGGGAGAGGAAGAUGGAAUUCCAGGUGUAGCGGUGGAAUGCGUAGAUAUCUGGAAGAACACCAGUUGCGUAGGCGGUCUUCUGGCCCAAUACUGACGCUGAGGCUCGAAAGCUAGGGGAGCAAACAGGAUUAGAUACCCUGGUAGUCCUAGCCCUAAACCAUGUACACUAGAUGUUGGGGGAGUCAAUCCUUUCAGUAUCGUAGUUAACGCGUUAAGUGUACCACCUGGGGAGUACGCUCGCAAGGGUGAAACUCAAAGGAAUUGACGGGGGCCCGCACAAGCGGUGGAGUAUGUGCUUUAAUUCGAUGCAACGCGAAGAACCUUACCUGGGCUUGACAUGGGGAUGAAAGGUUCCAGAGAUGGAAUCCCUUCCGCAAGGAACAUCCUACACAGGUGCUGCAUGGCUGUCGUCAGCUCGUGUCGUGAGAUGUUGGGUUAAGUCCCGCAACGAGCGCAACCCCCGUCCUUAGUUGCCAUCAGGUAAAGCUGGGAACUCUAAGGAGACUGCCUAGAAUAACUAGGAGGAAGGUGGGGAUGACGUCAAGUCAUCAUGGCUCUUACGUCCAGGGCCAGACACGUACUACAAUGGCCGGUACAAUGGGCUGCUACGUCGUAAGGCGAGGCUAAUCCCUUAAAACCGGUCUCAGUUCGGAUUGAGGUCUGCAAUUCGACCUCAUGAAGCUGGAAUCGCUAGUAAUCGCGGAUCAGCAUGCCGCGGUGAAUACGUUCCCGGGCCUUGUACACACCGCCCGUCAAGCCAUGAAAGGUGGGAGUACCCAAAGUCAUUUUUCCAACCCGCAAGGGAGGAGAAUGCCUAAGGUAAGACCACUGAUUGGGGCUAAGUCGGAACAAGGUA
This 1310-nucleotide ribosomal RNA is filed under the name metagenome. RNAcentral describes it as "bacterial SSU rRNA". It matches the Rfam family "Bacterial small subunit ribosomal RNA", at positions 202 to 1498 of the family's 1533-position model. The record is from RNAcentral.